UGCGGGCACCCUAGCCCUGGUGCGUCA
Molecule: non-coding RNA, 27 nt
Filed under: Homo sapiens (human)
Lineage: Eukaryota; Metazoa; Chordata; Mammalia; Primates; Hominidae
Source: RNAcentral